Molecule: ribosomal RNA, 323 nt
Filed under: Escherichia coli
Lineage: Bacteria; Pseudomonadati; Pseudomonadota; Gammaproteobacteria; Enterobacterales; Enterobacteriaceae
Description: bacterial SSU rRNA
Rfam family: Bacterial small subunit ribosomal RNA
Source: RNAcentral
UUAAAUUGAAGAGUUUGAUCAUGGCUCAGAUUGAACGCUGGCGGCAGGCCUAACACAUGCAAGUCGAACGGUAACAGGAAGAAGCUUGCUUCUUUGCUGACGAGUGGCGGACGGGUGAGUAAUGUCUGGGAAACUACCUGAUGGAGGGGGAUAACUACUGGAAACGGUAGCUAAUACCGCAUAACGUCGCAAGACCAAAGAGGGGGACCUUCGGGCCUCUUGCAAUCGGAAGGACCCAGAUGGGAUUAGCUAGUAGGUUGGGUAACGGCUCACCUAGGGGACGUGCCCUAGCUGGUCUGAGAGGAUGACCAGCCAAACUGGAA